CCUUCACAUAUAUAUCUAUAUACACAUAUAAAUAUAUAUAGCCAAAGCUCUCAGUAUCUCACGCUGCAGCCAAUGGAGGAGGAGAUCCAAGUCCAAGGGCCAGUGAAAGUGCAUCAAAAAUCAAAGUCGUUCUGGAUCUUUUGACAAUUUUUUGGGUAUACAAUAUUCCGGCACACAGAUACAAGUUUGCAGUGUUUUUUAACUGAAAUUGCCACACGCAAGCCAUCUCCGUCGCUUUGUCACGUUAAGAUGCGACCAAGGGAAGAAUCCGGGAGGAGGAGCAGCAGCAGGAGAGAAGAACCGUCUGAAGAUUUGGCCUGGUCUGCGGCGAACAAGAGAUUCCUGGUUUCGGGUCCGGGUCUGAGCCUGUAAUUUUGUAUUGACAUUGGGUCAUUUGAUACAGUUUUCCAGCUCAUUUGCUUGUAAUUGGGCACCGAAGAGUCGCCCCAGACUCCGCAUGGAAUCUGUAGAGAGGGGGCACCGUCUCGGCCUCCAUCCCCAUUCUCCUGCGGGGCUCAGGUUGACGACUUUUCAAAUUAUCAGAAAUACUUGUGGACUUGUAUAUUUAUUAAUCGGGAUUUCGUGUGAAAGAUGCAUCCAUACUCUUGGCCAGAGCCCUACUCCAGCUCCUUAAUGUCAACGACGUCGGUGGUGUUGGCAUCACUUCAUUUCAGAGGGACAAGUCCUUUUGGCCUUUUUUUUACCACAUUUUCGGCAGUGGCUUUUUGGCUUUCGGUUUUGGGACUGCCACCUGCAUUGACUGCGAUUUUUUUUGUCCGGGAUGCAAGGAUUAGUUUUUCUGAGUGCGGAAGCGAAGGAGCGUGGGCAACCCAAUUUCCAAAGUCAAAAGUGGCACCAGAUGACGGCGUGCGCCGCCGUCCUUUUCGGAUCUGAUCCCAAGACAAAGCGAGAUGGAUAUAUAUAGAGGGAGAAAGAGGUCCUGCAGGAGGAGGAUCGGUCAAAAGAUGGCAUAUGUUGCCAUGCUGUCCCGUUCUGGCCACCGUUCUGCACUUAAGAUCCUUCUCGCUGGCUUUCACUCGCACGCCACGCGGCUCGUCCUGCAGACAGCAAAUAAUAAUAACAACACUGCCGAUCCCGAUAAUUCCUUAUUGUCAGGAGGAAGACGCGCCAGUUGGUCGCAGGUCGCAGUUCCUGGAUACUCCCCUAUACAUUCUACAUACAUAGUAGUCAACAGCUACAUAUACUCAGAUAUCCUGGGGGCGAGAUCCUCUCCAGGUUUGCUUUAGAUUUGGGGUCUAGUUACAGUUACCCGAAAGUUCAGCGGUAGCACUAUUAAAGCCGCAUCAAUCAAAAUUAUAGAAAAUCCGGCAGCGAUUUCCUUAAACGCCAUCCAGACACGUAAGGCAAACUCCAAAGGGGCCGGCCGCCGAUUUUGGUUUGGGGUAAGAGCAUAUAGCCUGCGCCAAGGUAAAAACCAUUAAAUUCAUAUUAAUAUGAAUAUGAGCUCUCUGACCAUCGACGCCGCCAAAAUAUUGAGUUCUCAGCCGUCUUUUUUGUAAAAGAACUAGUCUGUUUUGGGUUGCCAAAUUAAGAACAAAUUAUAAAUAAAGAUAAUCUUCCUUA
This is a long non-coding RNA of Drosophila serrata, 1584 nucleotides long. Lineage: Eukaryota; Metazoa; Arthropoda; Insecta; Diptera; Drosophilidae. The record is from RefSeq and is a predicted model, not a curated record.